Molecule: ribosomal RNA, 449 nt
Filed under: uncultured bacterium
Lineage: Bacteria
Description: SSU rRNA
Rfam family: Bacterial small subunit ribosomal RNA
Source: RNAcentral
AGGAUGAACGCUGGCGGUCUGCUUAACACAUGCAAGUCGAACGGGCGUAGCAAUACGUUAGUGGCGGACGGGUGAGUAACGCGUGAGAAUCUACCUUCAGGACGGAGACAACAGUUGGAAACGACUGCUAACCCCCGAUGUACCGAAAGGGCAAAUAUUUAUAGCCUGAAGAAGAGCUCGCGUCCGAUUAGCUAGUUGGAGGGGUAAAAGCUCACCAAGGCGACGAUCGGUAGCUGGUCUGAGAGGACGAUCAGCCACACUGGGACUGAGACACGGCCCAGACUCCUACGGGAGGCAGCAGUGGGAAUUUCGCAAUGGGCGAAAGCCUGACGGAGCAAGACCGCGUGGGGGAAGAAGGCUCUUGGGGUUGUAAACCCCCUUUUCUCUGGGAAGAACGCAAUGACGGUACCAGAGGAAUCAGCAUCGGCUAACUCCGUGCCAGCAGCCGC